This 252-nucleotide ribosomal RNA is filed under the name uncultured bacterium. RNAcentral describes it as "partial 16S ribosomal RNA". It matches the Rfam family "Bacterial small subunit ribosomal RNA", at positions 524 to 776 of the family's 1533-position model. The record is from RNAcentral.
UACGUAGGUGGCAAGCGUGUCCGGAAUUAUUGGGCGUAAAGCGCUCGCAGGCGGUUUCUUAAGUCUGAUGUGAAAGCCCACGGCUCAACCGUGGAGGGGCAUUGGAAACUGGGGAACUUGAGUGCAGAAGAGGAGAGUGGAAUUCCACGUGUAGCGGUGAAAUGCGUAGAGAUGUGGAGGAACACCAGUGGCGAAGGCGACUCUCUGGUCUGUAACUGACGCUGAGGAGCGAAAGCGUGGGGAGCGAACAGG